AAAAAAAAAAAAAAAAAAAAGAUCGAUGCUAUCAUUUUAUGAGAGCGUACUUUGAUCAGCCACUCCAUUACCCUGGCUGACAACCGACCGCACGUGAUAAAAUAGCUAAACAUUUCCACACCUCCUCUCAGCCGGCUGUCCUUCCAUCCACGUUCACCCAAUGAAAAAACUGCUGUGGGAAUCACGGAUUUGCAGAUCCCUCAAGCACUAUAGAUUCACUGAAUACUGUCCUUUUUGUAACUGUUUCUGCAGAGAACUGAGAGAGGAAGAUAACUUGUAAAUCAGAUGUGUUAACCUCAACCCCCCCCCCGUUUUUUUUCCUGGCAGCACCCGCAGCAUAUGGAAGUUCCUGGGUCAGAUCCUUCACCCACUGCGAGGGGUAUUGAGCCCUUGCUGCCACAGAGGCAAUUCCAGAUCCUUAACCCACUAUGCUGCAGAGGGAACUCCAAUCUCACCCUCUAGCCAGGUUCUGUUUAAAUGUUCCAGUGAGUUCCAGCUAUGCUAAGGGACUAAGAGAAGCGUGUCCUAACUCGGGAAGUUGGAGCGUGGCAGCCACAGAACAAUAAGAGCUCCCUAAGGGGAAGGCGCUUCCAGGAAUAGAGCUGAGGACGCGGAGAUCCAGCUACCCCGUCCCUAGGCCGCCAGCAUGUGAUUAUGAAGAGCUGGCAGCGCUGUCCUUGCUCUCGGGUAAUUUGGGGAUGGGCGUGGAGGCGGGGGAGCAGCCUGUGAUGUGUUUAGGCGGAGGCAGGGGGCUUGGGUUUGAGUUCCUCCUCUGAUACUUACCAGAAACGUGAUACUGAGCAAUUAUCUUGAUCCGUGGAGUCUUGCUCUCUCCACUUGUGGAAACAGCAUCAUUUAUAGCAUCUUAAAUUGCAUGUUGUCUGUUGUCCUUUUUUUUUUUUUUCUGGUCUCUGUUUCCAGAAAUUCAGGUUUUUGAGCUCCUUAUCUAGCUGGAGGUUUGUGGUGCAGGACUGAAAGCAGAGUUUGGCUGAAUCCAAAUCCACCGUCUUGGACUUUAUUUUUGAAAGCUUGAAGUCACUUCAUCUGAGCUGGUGCCUGGAGGAUGGGGUGUCGCCUAGUUUGUCACGGAGGAGACAGAGACCUUAAUACACCGAGGGGCGAGAAUUGAAGAGUGCUGCAGGGAUCCUGUGUCAACUCGGUCUUGCCUCCGCCGUCUGGCCCAUCACAGCUGCAGAAAAAGAAUUCCUGCCAUGACGCAGUGCGUUGGGAAUUCGAUUGCCGCGGCUUAGCUCACUGUGGAGGUGAGGGUUCAAUACCUGGACAGGCAGGGCGUUAAAGGAGCUGGCAUUGCCACUCUGUGGUGUAGGUCCCAGCUGCAGCUCAGAUUCCAUCCCUGGCCCAAGAACUUCCAUACGCAGCCAUAAAAAAAAAAGGCGAUGAAGUUAAUACUUUUAAUUUGUUGUAUGUAACCAACAUAUUAAAAAUACUAUCACUGUAAUCAAUAAAAAUGUGACAUCGUAAAAGAAAGA
Non-coding RNA from Sus scrofa (pig), 1490 nucleotides. The record is from RefSeq and is a predicted model, not a curated record. NCBI's taxonomy places the organism in Eukaryota, Metazoa, Chordata, Mammalia, Artiodactyla, Suidae.